AACUGUUGGUGAUGAUUUUUCAAGCUAAAACAGAUGGGAAUCUCUCUGAUAAAAGAAUGCAGAAUAACUUUAAAAACUGAAACAGUG
This is a small nucleolar RNA of Dipodomys ordii (Ord's kangaroo rat), 87 nucleotides long. Its record names the gene SNORD79. It matches the Rfam family "Small nucleolar RNA SNORD79". Rfam says of the family: snoRNA U79 or Z22 is found in intron 7 of the gas5 gene in humans and is also present in mice. U79 is a member of the C/D class of snoRNA which contain C (UGAUGA) and D (CUGA) box motifs. Lineage: Eukaryota; Metazoa; Chordata; Mammalia; Rodentia; Heteromyidae. The record is from Ensembl.